AUACGUGCUAAAAGUCGAAUUCAGCGAUGAGUUCGAUGCACUUAUCGGAGCAAAACCUUUCCUGGUCUUAUGCUAACUCUGGAUAACACUGCUUAUCGCAUGACCUCGUGUCGGCGAAGUUACAUUCAAGUAUCUGCCUUAUCAACUUUCGAUGGUAGUGUAUUGGACUGCCAUGGUGUUGACGGGUAACGGAGAAUCAGGGUUCGACUCCGGAGAGGGAGCCUUAGAAACGGCUACCAUGUCUAAGGACAGCAGCAGGCGCGUAACUUAUCCACUGUUCAUUGAACGAGAUAGUGACGAGAAAUAACAAGUCCGUUCUCUAUGAGGUCGGACAUUGGAAUGGAUGGAAUCUAAACAGUUCCAUGAGUACCCACGAGAGGGCAAGUCUGGUGCCAGCAGCCGCGGUAAUUCCAGCUCUCGUAAUGUAUAGAAUUAUUGUUGCGGUUAAAAAGUUCGUAGUUGGAUUUUCGACUGUUCGAGGGUCGGCCCUAACGGGACGUACUCUUGGCAGUGUUUGCAUCCGACUUGUAAGCGAUUAUAAGUUGGGUGCGGAUUACUUUGAACGGCUUAAGUGCUCAAGGCGAGUCUUCGGACUGAAUACCGGUGCAUGGAAUAAUGGAACAAGGUUUCGGCCGAGUUUUAUUGGUUUUGUCGGCUAAAACAAUGGUUAACAGGAACAGCUGGGGGCACUCGUAUCGCUGCGCGAGAGGUGAAAUUCGUGGACCGCAGCGAGACGCCCUAAAGCGAAGGCAUUUGCCAAGAGUGUUUUCAUUAAUCAAGAACGAAAGU
RNAcentral lists this ribosomal RNA (789 nucleotides) under Aphelenchoides centralis. Its description in RNAcentral is "SSU rRNA". It matches the Rfam family "Eukaryotic small subunit ribosomal RNA", at positions 167 to 990 of the family's 1831-position model. The record is from RNAcentral. Lineage: Eukaryota; Metazoa; Nematoda; Chromadorea; Rhabditida; Aphelenchoididae.